CAGCAGCCGCGGUAAUACGUAGGUGGCAAGCGUUGUCCGGAAUUAUUGGGCGUAAAGGGCUCGCAGGCGGUUUCUUAAGUCUGAUGUGAAAGCCCCCGGCUCAACCGGGGAGGGUCAUUGGAAACUGGGAAACUUGAGUGCAGAAGAGGAGAGUGGAAUUCCACGUGUAGCGGUGAAAUGCGUAGAGAUGUGGAGGAACACCAGUGGCGAAGGCGACUCUCUGGUCUGUAACUGACGCUGAGGAGCGAAAGCGUGGGGAGCGAACAGGAUUAGAGACCCGCGUAGUCCCUGUCUCUUAUAC
RNAcentral lists this ribosomal RNA (301 nucleotides) under uncultured bacterium. RNAcentral's name for it is "partial 16S ribosomal RNA". It matches the Rfam family "Bacterial small subunit ribosomal RNA", at positions 509 to 807 of the family's 1533-position model. The record is from RNAcentral.